This 625-nucleotide ribosomal RNA is filed under the name Salmonella enterica subsp. enterica serovar Oranienburg. RNAcentral describes it as "partial 23S ribosomal RNA". It matches the Rfam family "Bacterial large subunit ribosomal RNA", at positions 565 to 1191 of the family's 2925-position model. Lineage: Bacteria; Pseudomonadati; Pseudomonadota; Gammaproteobacteria; Enterobacterales; Enterobacteriaceae. The record is from RNAcentral.
UACAAGCAGUGGGAGCACCCUUUGGGGUGUGACUGCGUACCUUUUGUAUAAUGGGUCAGCGACUUAUAUUCUGUAGCAAGGUUAACCGUAUAGGGGAGCCGGAGGGAAACCGAGUCUUAACCGGGCGUUAAGUUGCAGGGUAUAGACCCGAAACCCGGUGAUCUAGCCAUGGGCAGGUUGAAGGUUGGGUAACACUAACUGGAGGACCGAACCGACUAAUGUUGAAAAAUUAGCGGAUGACCUGUGGCUGGGGGUGAAAGGCCAAUCAAACCGGGAGAUAGCUGGUUCUCCCCGAAAGCUAUUUAGGUAGCGCCUCGUGAAUUCAUCUCCGGGGGUAGAGCACUGUUUCGGCUAGGGGGCCAUCCCGGCUUACCAACCCGAUGCAAACUGCGAAUACCGGAGAAUGUUAUCACGGGAGACACACGGCGGGUGCUAACGUCCGUCGUGAAGAGGGAAACAACCCAGACCGCCAGCUAAGGUCCCAAAGUCAUGGUUAAGUGGGAAACGAUGUGGGAAGGCCCAGACAGCCAGGAUGUUGGCUUAGAAGCAGCCAUCAUUUAAAGAAAGCGUAAUAGCUCACUGGUCGAGUCGGCCUGCGCGGAAGAUGUAACGGGGCUAAACCAUG